GUCAGGAUGGCCGAGCGGUCUAAAGCGCUGUGUUCAGGUCGCAGUCUCCCCUGGAGGCGUGGGUUUGAAUCCCACUUCUGACA
RNAcentral lists this transfer RNA (83 nucleotides) under Petromyzon marinus (sea lamprey). RNAcentral's name for it is "tRNA-Leu (CAG) (tRNA-Leu-CAG-22-1)". It matches the Rfam family "tRNA". Rfam says of the family: Transfer RNA (tRNA) molecules are approximately 80 nucleotides in length. Their secondary structure includes four short double-helical elements and three loops (D, anti-codon, and T loops). Lineage: Eukaryota; Metazoa; Chordata; Hyperoartia; Petromyzontiformes; Petromyzontidae. The record is from RNAcentral.